GGGGAGAGAAGCAAAAAGUGUGUGAGUGGGGGGUAAAUAAUUGGCCGACUCCCUGCCUGGUUGCCAAGUGCUGGGAUCAAAGAGGCCAACCAUGUCUCUUCAAAGGCCAGGGCGGGAUUAAGGGGAGGUGGGUCUUUCAUGUGGCUCUAGGCAGUGAUUUCUGCCUUUUAUCCAGCCCUUCCCCCCUUUCUUGUUCAUUUUAUGCUGGGAUCUGAAUGCUCCUCCCUACCAUUUCCCCUCUCUUUGCCUCAGCUAAAACAAGCCCAUUUCCCAUUCUCUCUAUCUAAUGUCUUGGCUUUUUCUUCUUUGCUUUCUUUCUGCCUGUCUCUCACUCUUAAUUCUACCUCUGGUAUACAGGCAGUACCCAAGUUGCAAACAUCCGAUUUACAAACUGCUCAUAGUUACAAAUGGGGUGAGACAACAAAGUGAGAGAGAUCCAACUCUAGAAAAAGAAAUUCACCCCUGAAAGAGUUAUCACGAGGAAAAGGAAUCUUAAUUGAAGCUUUCUCACCAAUUGCUGUUUCCACAACAAGCCAUGUUGUUCAAAAUCCACUUAUUAUGGGGUUGGAAAGUGAGGCGAAGUCUUCUGAACAGGGGCACAGACUGCAAAACAAACACCACAGGAUGUUAAACCUUCUCUAUGCUAUCCAAAACAUGCAUGCAUAUAUAUAUGGCUGGAGUUACACUUUAAAAAUGUGCCUGUUCCGACUUACAUGCAAAGAAAAAAAAACUACAGAGCCUAACUUGGGGACUGCCUGUAAAAUGGAGAAGCAGUUAGAAAUAGUUGUAAUCUUCAAGAGGUUUUAACUAAACAUUGCUGAGUAGUUUUGACCUCGUCCUCAAAAUGAUGGCAUAAGGGAUUAUUUUAUUUUUAUUUCCUCCUCCUUUUGGCUGGCAUCCUGCAUUGCCAUUAUCGAUUCAAAGCCUAGGGUUAUGGAUUGGCAACUGCAAUGUGUUCAGCUAUGCUACCUAUUCAUAAUCAAGACACAAUUGCUAUGAUCAUAAAUGCCAUUCAAAGCUCACCUUAAACUCCAAAUAACUGCACUGAAUGGCAGAGAUCAUCAGAACACUUUGGGAACAUAUCUCCAUCCUCUUCUUGCCCCAGAGCCGUGCACUCUAUGUAUGUUAUGUUAUGGUAUGUAAGUAUGUCUCUGUGUGUGUGUGUGUGUGUGUGUGUGUGUGUGUGUGUUUCUUCCAGAGUGGAGCCCAAGGUAGCCCACCGAUAAAAUUAGCUAAAAUCUAAUAAUACAACAUUUUAGAAACAAUUUAAAACAUCUACAAAAGUCAAAAACAUAAACAAAGCAUGCUCUCCAAUACAAAAGCUCAUGAGAAUGAUCACAUAUUAAAAGCUGCCUGCCAAAAAAACCCCUAGCUGUUGGAGAAAGGAAAACAAAACAAGGAGAAGGCCAGCCUACCUCCCAUGGAGCCACAAAGAAGGCUCUUUUGUGUCCUUACACACAAAAUUGAUGAAACCAAGAUAAAACCAAGAUCUUAAAGGUUUGGCAGGUCCAUACUGGGAAACCUCCAAAUCUUGGAUCCAAGCUGUAUAAGGAUUUUUAGGUCAUGAGCAGCACUUUAAAUUGUGCCUGGAAACAAUCUGGAAGCUAGUGGAACAGUUUUAACAGGGACGUUCUAUGCUACCUAUAACUGAUCUCAGUCAGCAUUCAGCUUCAAAGUACCGCAGUUUCCAAGCUCUGUAGAAGGCCUCUGCGUAAUUUGGGCAAUUCCCUUUGGCCACGUCCAACAUAGUUCCAAAAUGUAAUCUUACAUUUCCUGCCUUCUUCCCCAACUUGCUGCUUCCACUUGACCACAGUCAAAGGCUAUACUUUCCACCCUCUGCUGUGCACACACCUGCAGCGUACAGUCUAGCUUUCUGAUGACAUAUUCUGUUACAACAGGCAGUAAAUAUGGCAUGGACGGGAGGGGGUUACUUUGCUAUUUGAACUGCUGUGAAAGCAGAAAAAGCCCUCUCCCAACAUCAUUAGAGGGAAACUAAACAGGAGGGGAGGGGCCCUACACACACACACACAAUUGUGGAGUUUGCAAAUGCCUCCAAAUUAAUUGGCCCACAAAUGGGUGGCCUGCCGGUUUUGCUUGCAUCGGAUCCCCCCCCCCCCUGCUGUCGGCCCCUCUCCCUGCCUUGGCAGGCUGCCAGCUGCUCCCUGCCUUUGAUCAUUUCUCUGUUCAUCUGGCCUGCAGUCAGCAGGGCAGUUCCUUUCUGCCUGCUGCCCAAUUACCAAGAAACAUAAAGGGAGGAGCGUAAAACUCCGUUCCCUUGAGUCAUCCUCAACCAUUAGGAGCAGGCAUCGAUUACAUUUCAAAGGUAUUGUUUCCCAGAUCCUAGUUCACGGGUGUUUGUGUGUGUGUGCUUUUUUUAAAAAGGAGACCAACUGCCACCAGAAGGGGAUAUAGAUCAAUGUGACAAAGUAGUCAUCAAUAAAAACACAUUGACAUUGCUGGCUGUGGGCCUAACAAUAUAGCAAACAAUCACUUAGUAAUAGGCAUGUGCUAGCAGAGCAUGUGAUUUAUACUCCUGCAUGUAGUUACUAGUCUGGCUUGACAAGCUGGUAUGUGACCAGAGAAGGAUGACCAAAAAUGCUUACAGGUCUGGAAGCCAGCUUAGGGAACUAGGUGUGUUUAGCCUGGAAAAGAGAAGGUUAAGAAGGGACAUAAUAGCCAUGUUUAAAUAUUUGAGUGUCACACUGAGGAGGGGCAAGCUUUUUUCCCUCCUGCUCUAGAGACUACAGCACGGAGCAAUGAAAUUGAAGGAAAAGAGAUUCCACUGAACUUCCUGAUCAUGAGAGCUGUUUGACAGUGGUGUAUGUUGCCUCACAGGGUGGUAAAAUCUUCUCUUUUGGAGGUUUUCAAACAGAAGCUUACCAAAGAAGUCAGAAUCUUUUUCGCCCCUAGAUUUUAUAUGGGGUUGGAGUUGGGCUGGUUGUUGUUCACCUUUUGCUUGCAGAUACUAAUUACUCUUCUUGUGAAAUACAUCACUAUCUCUCACAUUUAUUCUCAUUGAUCCAUGUUUCCUGGUCCUCGCAUGGCCAAAAAAAGGGGUGGGGUGGGGAGGAGAGUAGGCUCUACCUAUAUUAAUAUCGUUCUAUCUUAACUGCCAUGGUUCAAUGCUAUGGAUUCGUGGGAGUUGUAGUUUUGUAAGAUCUUUUGUUUUCUCUUCCUAAUAGUGCUUCUGCCUCACCAAACUACAAUCCCCAUUAUUCCAUAGCAUUGAGCCAUAGCAGUCAGCGUGGUGCCAAACCACAUUAAUUCUACAGUGUAUUUAUUUAUUUAUCGUGUCAGAAGUGAAUUGAGAAUACAGUUAUAAUGUAUAGAAAAACCACAAACAAAGUUUAAAACUUGCAAUUAUACUAAAUUUUCUUUUAUCAGAAGCUGGCCACUUGGAGUGCCUCUGGUGUUGCUGUAAGAAGGUCCCCCAUUGUGCAUGUGGCAGGGCUCAGACUGCAUUGUAGUAGGUGGUCUGUGGUUUGCUCUUCUCAACACUCACAUACUGUGGACUCCAUCUAACCAUAAUUUUGUCUAGCCCACAUUUGACUAGCUUGUUUACCAGAAGGUCAUGGGGGACCUUGUCAAAGGCCUUACUGAAAUCCAGAUAGGCUACAUCCAUGGCAUUCCCCACAUCUACCCAGCUUGUAACUCUAUCGAAAAAAGAGAUCAGAUUAGUUUGACAUUAUUUGUUUUUGGUAAAUCCGAGUUGACUAUUAGCAAUGACCACAUUUGUUUCUAAGUGUUUGCAUACCACUUCCUUAAUGAUCUUUUCCAGAAUCCUGCCUGGUAUUGACGUGUGGCUAACUGGAUGGUAAUUGUUUGGGUUCCCUUUAUUCCCUUCUUGAAGAUAGGGACCACAUUCAUCCUCCUCCAAUCUGCUGGGACUUCUCCCGUUCUCCAAGAGCUCUCAAAAAUGAUUGCUAGUGGUUCUGAAAUAACUUCUGCUAGUUCCUUCAAUACGCUUGGGUGUAGUUGAUCCGGCCCUGGAGACUUACAUUCAUUUAGAGCGGCCAGGUAUUCCUGGAUUAUUUCUUUCCCUAUUUGGGGUUGGAUUUCCCCCAAUCCUUCAUCCACUCCAUGUUGCUGAGGUUGAGGCUUUCUUUUUGUGAGAAGACUAAGGCAAAGAAUGCAUCAAAUAGUUCUGCCUUUUCCCUAUCCCCUGUCAGAAUUUCCCCUUCUUUUCCUCGCAGAGGCCCUAUCACCUCCUUGUUCUUCCUUUUCCUACCGACAUAAGCAAAGAAGCCCUUUUUAUUGUUUUUAAUGUCCCUGGCAAGCCUGAGCUCGUUUUGCGCUUUGGCCUUGUGAACCUUUUCCCUACAGGAGUUGGCUAUUCAUUUGAAUUCUUCUUUGGCGAUUUCUCCCUUUUCCCACUUCUUGUGCAUGUCUUUUUUGAGUCUUAGACCAAUUAGAAGUUCUUUGGACAUCCAUUCUGGCUUCUUUGCACUUGUCUUGUUUUUAUUCUUUAUUGGCACUGUUUGCAUUUGCGCCUUGAGUAUUUCACUUUUUAAAAACUCCCAUCCAUCCUUAACUUCCUUGUCUUUUUGUAUUGGCGUCCAUGGACUGAUGCUCAGUAUUUCCUUCAUUUUUGGAAGUCAGCUCUCCUGAAGUCCAGAAUGUGGGUUUGACUUGUCUUCGUUUCGGCCUUCCUUUGUAUCGCAAACUGCAGGAGCACAUGGUCACUUGCCCCUAAGAAUCAACUGCAUUGAUCUGGUCCUCUGUGUUUGUUAGAAUGAGAUCAAGAGUAGCCAGUCCCCUUGUUGCCUCUUCUACCUUCUGGACCAUAAAAUUGUCUGCAAGGCAAGCGAGGAAUUUGUUGGACUUUGUACUCUUGGCCGAGUUUGUUUUCCAGCAAAUAUCAGGAUAGUUGAAAUCGCCCAUGAGUACUAUAUCUCUUCUUUGUGCCUGUUUGGUCAGCUGCUGACAGAAGGCUACAUCAAGUUCUUCAUCCUGGUUCAGAGGUCUGUAGUAGACUCCCACGACAAGAUCUUUUUGAAUCCAGUUUCCCUUGAUUUUUAUCCAGAUGCUUUCAAGCUGGUUUUCCGGAUUGCCAUCUUGCAUCUUUUCUGCAACGUAAAUGUUUUUGACAUAUAGGGCUACUCCCCUUCCUCUCCCGUUUAUUCUGUUUCUGUGAAAGAGGUUAUAGCCUUCAAUGGCUACAUUCCAGUGAUGGGAGUCAUCCCACCAGGUUUCAGUGAUUCCUAUGACAUCGUAAGUGUGGCGUUGUGCUAAAGGUUGGCGUUCGUCUUGUUUAUUCCUCAUGCUCUGUGCAUUAGUGUAAAGACAUGUAAGCCCCUGGGACCUUCCCCUGAGCUGUUUCUUUGGGAUUAUUGUGUUCUUGGUAAUUGGUCCUUGUCGUGUUUGUGCAACCCCAUUUAGCCUUAUGGCGAUUCCCUGUGGUCGUGGGUAAAAUACUGUUCGCAAGGCUAUUGUCCCCCUCCCCCGACUGACCUAGUUUAAAGUGCGCCUGAUGAAGUUUGCUAGUCUGUGAGCAAAAAGGUGUUUUCCUACUUGUGUGAGAUGCACCCCAUCCCUUGCCAGUAGGCCUUCCUCGUUGAAAAGCAGGCCAUGGUCUAGGAAGCCAAAGAGUUCCUCCUGACACCAUCUUCUGAGCCAGUUAUUGACCUGUACUAUUUUUCUGGCCCUUGUAGAUGUCCUCUGUCUUGAUCUGACUAACAUUAAUAUCCAUCUAGACCAAAUGCUACUGCCUACACCAAUAUCCAGAUUAACCACUUCUCCUGUCCCCUCUUCUGCUUUCUAACAGCCACAAAAUAUCAAUUGGGAAGGAGCUAUCAAGGUGACUUAGUGUGUCCUGGGUCUGGUGAUGGGAGCCAUAGUGUGGUUUCAUAUAUGGGCCUCUUUUAAUAUAUGAGACCAGGUAGGAUUUCAUUUAAUAAGUGUACAGAAGGAAGGAAAGUGAAUACUUGGGUCUAAUCCAGCCACAUUAACUUGCCCAGAUAGCAAAACUCCUGGGAGGAAAGGUUAUGGCAACUCUUGCUAACAGAUUGGCAAUCAAGAAAAGAAAAGGUCUCUUUGCCUUAAUCCCUUUAUCUCAGAGACACAUUCUCAGAUAGAGUUUUAUUUUUAGUUGAUAGGCAAUUUUAAAGGAGAACCGUUAAAGGCAUACACACAAAAUGCCACACUGUGCAUAGGUUAACACAGUUACAGCCCAUAUUAACUUAUCCCCAUUACACACAUGCUGUAUAUUUUAUAGUAUACAUUCAUUUUAUGGUAUACAUUUUACACUGAACAUAAACAGUAAUGUACUGAACUAUGCAUUAAAGGCAAAAGCUACAAGAAUAAAAUACAACAUAUUUCUACUGUGACUGAGUUAAUGUAGCUGUUGCAUUUGUCAUCUCAGAGCUUGCAGCAUACAAAUGCCACUUGAGAAAGUUCAGUGCUGCAUUAUACUAGGUUUAUUGUUUCAAAUUUCAUUUAGUAACAGCCAAAAUAAGGAGAGAAUUAUCUGAACCUUAUAAAAGGCCCUAUACAGCAGAAUUCCAAAUUAGCUUCACUAACCAGGCUACAGCAAGGUAAAUAUUCACAGACUUGGUGCCAGAUUUGGGUCAAAUUGGUUUAAAAGAGGCCAGUGUUUCUCCUCUGAAGCUCAUAAUAUCAGAUACUACUGCAGACUCAGGGUGCAUCUACACUGUUGAAUUAAUGCAGUUUGACACCACUUUAACUUCCAUGUCUCAAUGCAAUGGAAUCAUGAGAGUUGCAGUUUGGUGAAUCACUGGAAUUAUUUAGCAGAGAAGGCUGAAAGCACCAAGGCAUGGCAGUUAAAGUGGUGUCAAAUUUAAUUUGACAGUGUAGAUGCACCCUUUCUUUUCAGGUUUGGAAGAGUCAUUCAGUGGUUCCCAUUUCCUGCCAUUUCCUCCUCAUGCUGUUGCUGAUGCCCAUUCCCCUGCCACCCUCUUUCAGCCCAAUUCACUUCUUUUCAGGAAGCAAAGCUGGAGAAACCUUAAUCCCUGACAUCCCUCAGCAUUAGCCAGGCUGAUGGGAACUACAAUCCAGAAGCAUCUGGAAAGCCAAAGUUCACCGUCCCAUGUCACUGGGACGUAUCUGGUAGUAUCUGCAUGACAUAGUAACAUUGGUUUCAUGCUACAUAAAUGGCUGUGACGCCAUCCUACAGAAUCCUGGGAUUUGUAGUUUGCUUGAACACUGCAACAGAAGAUUCUAAGCAUUUCACUACACCCAUACACAUUUUUUGAAUGGAGCCUUGGUAGUUAAAGGAAUGUAAAACAGCUAUAAUAGUAUAAUUACAACUAUGAUUAUGCUGUCCAGUACAUUUUGCAAACUGCAAUCCAAAAUGUAACUUCUCAUGUUGGGCACAUCAGGAAGAAUCUGUGGAGGGUCAUUUUUUCUUCAACCCAAUGCAUAUCUCCAUGAUGAUAUAAAGAUAGUCUGGUUGCCUAGCAAUAUUUUUUUGAAAGGAAAUGGGCACACUUGGUUUACAUUAAACAAACAAUGCAUUUACAGCAAACAAGCUGAAUGAGCUCUAUUUCACUGCAGUUGAAGGUCUCCCUAUGUCAAAUUAUUUUAAAACUGUAAUUUUGGCUCCUUGUGGCCUAGAAAACAUGCCGUCAUAUACAUUCUUAUCAUCCUAGUAGAUCUUGCUGAAAUUGUUUAACGUACCUAAACAAAAUACUAUUGGGAAGGCAAUUUGAAUAGAAAUAAAUACCACCAGCUUGGAGAUCAUCUUCAUAACUUUUAUAUAGCACUUUUUGUGCACUAUCUCAGUAAGCCCUGUGAGAAUCUUGUACAAAAUGGUGCAGGAGUGCACAGGUGAGACCAAGAGAAUUAUAGCCACAUACUGGAUCAUUUCUGGAUUCUUUCUCAGAGGGAGGUCCCAUCGAGCUCAACUCCCAAUGUAGUCGCAUUGCAACUUAAGUGACUUAUAGAAUCAUAGAAUCUUAGAAUAGUAGAGUUGGAAGAGACCUCAUGGGCCAUCCAGUCCAACAACCUGCCAAGAAGCAGGAAAUCGCAUUCAAAUCAUUCUCGACAGAUGGCCAUCCAGCCUCUGUUUAAAAGCCUUCAAAGAAGGAGCCUCCACCACAGUCCGGGGCAGAGAGUUCCACUGCCAAACAGCUCUCACAGUCAGGAAGUUCUUCCUGAUGUUCAGGUGGAAUCUCCGUUCCUGUAGUUUGAAGCCAUUGUUCCGCGUCCUAGUCUGCAGGGCAGCAGAAAACAAGCUUGCUCCCUCCUCCCUAUGACUUCCCCUCACAUAUUUGUACAUGGUUAUUAUGUCUCCUCUUAGCCUUCUCUUCUGCAGGCUAAACAUGCCCAGUUCUUUAAGCCUCUCUUCAUAGGGCUUGUUCUCCAGACCUUUGAUCAUUUUAGUUGCCCUCCUCUGGACACUUUCCAGUUUGUCAACAUCUCCCUUCAACUCCGGUGCCCAGAAUUGGACGCAGUAUUCCAGGUGUGGUCUGACCAAGGCAGAAUAGAGGGGUAGCAUGACUUCCCUGGAUCUAGAUGCUAUACCCCUAUUGAUGCAGGCCAAAAUCCCGUUGGGUUUCUUAGCAGCCACAUCACAUUGCUGGCUCAAAUUUAACUUGUUGUCCACAAGGACUCCAAGAUCUUUUUCACAUGUACUGCUGUCUAGCCAGGCGUCCCCCAUUCUGUAUCUUUGCAUUCCAUUUUUUCUGCCAAAGUGAAGUAUUUUGCAUUUGUCCCUGUUGAACUUCCUUUUGUUAGUUUCGGCCCAUCUCUCUAGUCUGUUAAGAUCGUUUUGAAUUCUGCUCCUGUCUUCUGGAGUGUUGGCUAUCCCUCCCAAUUUGGUGUCAUCUGCAAACUUGAUGAUCGUGCCUUCUAACCCUUCAUCUAAGUCGUUAAUAAAGAUGUUGAACAGAACCGGGCCCCGGACGGAACCCUGCGGCACUCCACUCGUGACUUCUUUCCAAGAUGAAGACAACGCAUUGAUAGUACAGAAAUUUGGGGCAGCUCCACAUAGGCGUUAAAGAUAGAGGACCAUCAAGGGAGUGAAGGUACCAUCACCAGGGGCUUUGAGGAAAGAGGCAGCCUUUGUUUUCUUUGCUGCCUCUGCCUCAGCUCCUGGAACUCACUCCUUGCAGAACUGAGGCCCUGGCCCUGUGACUCUGCGAAGCACAGCCCAACAAGAACACCUGCUUGCCUCCAGAGGCCGGGGCAUAAAAGGACCAUGCCUGUGGGGGUCUCAGCCAUACAGGGCUCUGCCAUCUUGCUGCUCUGCUACAUCACCAUCCCUGCUGCUGACGCUGGUUCACUUCUGCCAUCAUUCAGGAAAAAUCCUUCCCUCUUUUAGCAGAAUCCUUAUGAUAGCUGAGAUUUGGUUACAUGUUUUAAUCCGUUUUAAUUGUAAUUUACAUGUUAUUGAGUUUUGUGUUCAUUGUAUAACACUAGCGUUGGAUUUUUGCCAAAACUUCUAAGCUGCUCUGAGUCCCCCAUGUGGUAGAAAUAAAGUAAAUAAAUAAAUUCAUUAAAGUGCAA
Long non-coding RNA from Anolis carolinensis (green anole), 9465 nucleotides. RefSeq lists it as uncharacterized. NCBI's taxonomy places the organism in Eukaryota, Metazoa, Chordata, Lepidosauria, Squamata, Anolidae. The transcript has 2 exons. The record is from RefSeq and is a predicted model, not a curated record.